GACGAACGCUGGCGGCGUGCUUAACACAUGCAAGUCGAACGGAAAGGCCCUGCUUUUGUGGGGUGCUCGAGUGGCGAACGGGUGAGUAACACGUGAGUAUCCUGCCCUUGACUUUGGGAUAACUUCAGGAAACUGGGGCUAAUACCGGAUAGGAGCUCCUGCUGCAUGGUGGGGGUUGGAUAGUUUCGGCGGUUGGGGAUGGACUCGCGGCUUAUCAGCUUGGUGGUGGGGUAGUGUCUUACCAAGGCUUUGCAGGGUAGCCUGCCUGCGAGGGUCACCGGCCAAGUUGGGACGGAGAUACGGCCCAGACUACUACGGGAGGCAGCAGUGGGGAAUGUUGCACAAUGGGCGGAAGCCUGAUGCAGCACCGCCGCGUGCGGGAUGACGGCCUUCGGGUUGUAAACCGCUUUCGCCUGUGACGAAGCGUGAGUGACGGUAAUGGGUAAAGAAGCACCGGCUAACUACGUG
RNAcentral lists this ribosomal RNA (468 nucleotides) under uncultured bacterium. RNAcentral describes it as "partial 16S ribosomal RNA". It matches the Rfam family "Bacterial small subunit ribosomal RNA", at positions 28 to 507 of the family's 1533-position model. The record is from RNAcentral.